AGAGUUUGAUCAUGGCUCAGAUUGAACGCUGGCGGCAGGCCUAACACAUGCAAGUCGAGCGGUAGCACAGAGAGCUUGCUCUCGGGUGACGAGCGGCGGACGGGUGAGUAAUGUCUGGGAAACUGCCUGAUGGAGGGGGAUAACUACUGGAAACGGUAGCUAAUACCGCAUAACGUCGCAAGACCAAAGUGGGGGACCUUCGGGCCUCAUGCCAUCAGAUGUGCCCAGAUGGGAUUAGCUGGUAGGUGGGGUAACGGCUCACCUAGGCGACGAUCCCUAGCUGGUCUGAGAGGAUGACCAGCCACACUGGAACUGAGACACGGUCCAGACUCCUACGGGAGGCAGCAGUGGGGAAUAUUGCACAAUGGGCGCAAGCCUGAUGCAGCCAUGCCGCGUGUGUGAAGAAGGCCUUCGGGUUGUAAAGCACUUUCAGCGGGGAGGAAGGCGGUGAGGUUAAUAACCUCAUCGAUUGACGUUACCCGCAGAAGAAGCACCGGCUAACUCCGUGCCAGCAGCCGCGGUAAUACGGAGGGUGCAAGCGUUAAUCGGAAUUACUGGGCGUAAAGCGCACGCAGGCGGUCUGUCAAGUCGGAUGUGAAAUCCCCGGGCUCAACCUGGGAACUGCAUUCGAAACUGGCAGGCUAGAGUCUUGUAGAGGGGGGUAGAAUUCCAGGUGUAGCGGUGAAAUGCGUAGAGAUCUGGAGGAAUACCGGUGGCGAAGGCGGCCCCCUGGACAAAGACUGACGCUCAGGUGCGAAAGCGUGGGGAGCAAACAGGAUUAGAUACCCUGGUAGUCCACGCUGUAAACGAUGUCGAUUUGGAGGUUGUGCCCUUGAGGCGUGGCUUCCGGAGCUAACGCGUUAAAUCGACCGCCUGGGGAGUACGGCCGCAAGGUUAAAACUCAAAUGAAUUGACGGGGGCCCGCACAAGCGGUGGAGCAUGUGGUUUAAUUCGAUGCAACGCGAAGAACCUUACCUGGUCUUGACAUCCACAGAACUUUCCAGAGAUGGAUUGGUGCCUUCGGGAACUGUGAGACAGGUGCUGCAUGGCUGUCGUCAGCUCGUGUUGUGAAAUGUUGGGUUAAGUCCCGCAACGAGCGCAACCCUUAUCCUUUGUUGCCAGCGGUUAGGCCGGGAACUCAAAGGAGACUGCCAGUGAUAAACUGGAGGAAGGUGGGGAUGACGUCAAGUCAUCAUGGCCCUUACGACCAGGGCUACACACGUGCUACAAUGGCAUAUACAAAGAGAAGCGACCUCGCGAGAGCAAGCGGACCUCAUAAAGUAUGUCGUAGUCCGGAUUGGAGUCUGCAACUCGACUCCAUGAAGUCGGAAUCGCUAGUAAUCGUAGAUCAGAAUGCUACGGUGAAUACGUUCCCGGGCCUUGUACACACCGCCCGUCACACCAUGGGAGUGGGUUGCAAAAGAAGUAGGUAGCUUAACCUUCGGGAGGGCGCUUACCACUUUGUGAUUCAUGACUGGGGUGAAGUCGUAACAAGGUAACCGUAGGGGAACCUGCGGUUGGAUCACCU
RNAcentral lists this ribosomal RNA (1528 nucleotides) under Klebsiella variicola. RNAcentral describes it as "bacterial SSU rRNA". It matches the Rfam family "Bacterial small subunit ribosomal RNA". Lineage: Bacteria; Pseudomonadati; Pseudomonadota; Gammaproteobacteria; Enterobacterales; Enterobacteriaceae. The record is from RNAcentral. RNAcentral also lists the same sequence under 2 other names.